RNAcentral lists this ribosomal RNA (471 nucleotides) under uncultured bacterium. RNAcentral describes it as "bacterial SSU rRNA". It matches the Rfam family "Bacterial small subunit ribosomal RNA", at positions 355 to 825 of the family's 1533-position model. The record is from RNAcentral.
UCGAGGAUCUUUAGCAAUGCCCGAAAGGGUGACUAUGCGACGCCGCGUGUGGGAUGAAGGCCUUCGGGUCGUAAACCACUGUCAGGGAGGAAGAAACCUUACGUGUUAACAGCGCGUAAGCUGACAUCACUCCCAAAGGAAGCCACGGCUAACUCUGUGCCAGCAGCCGCGGUAAGACAGAGGUGGCAAGCGUUGUUCGGAUUUAUUGGGUGUAAAGGGUCCGUAGGUGGCCUAACAAGUCUGAUGUGAAAUCCCAUGGCUCAACCGUGGAACUGCAUUGGAAACUGCUGGGCUUGAGUACCGCAGAGGUAAAGGGAAUUCCCGGUGUAAGGGUGAAAUCUGUAGAUAUCGGGAGGAACACCAGUGGCGAAGGCGCUUUACUGGGCGGUUACUGACACUGAGGGACGAAAGCAAGGGGAGCAAACAGGAUUAGAUACCCCCGUAGUCCCUGAGCGGGCUGGCAAGGCGCAU